GGCACUAUGCCCGAGUUGGUCUAAGGGGACGCACUCAAGCGAUAUGCUUGCUCAGAACUUCGGGUCUAUUUGCGUUCAGCGUUUGCUGGCGCGUGUUCGAAUCACGCUGGUGUCA
Molecule: transfer RNA, 115 nt
Filed under: Ceratobasidium sp. AG-Ba
Lineage: Eukaryota; Fungi; Basidiomycota; Agaricomycetes; Cantharellales; Ceratobasidiaceae
Description: tRNA-Leu
Rfam family: tRNA
About the family: Transfer RNA (tRNA) molecules are approximately 80 nucleotides in length. Their secondary structure includes four short double-helical elements and three loops (D, anti-codon, and T loops).
Source: RNAcentral